CUACGGAGGGUGCAAGCGUUAUCCGGAAUCAUUGGGUUUAAAGGGUCCGCAGGCGGAUUAAUAAGUCAGUGGUGAAAUCCUCUCGCUCAACGAGAGAACUGCCAUUGAAACUGUUAGUCUUGAAUUCGGUCGAAGUAGGCGGAAUGUGUCAUGUAGCGGUGAAAUGCAUAGAUAUGACACAGAACACCGAUAGCGAAGGCAGCUUACUAGACCUGGAUUGACGCUCACGGACGAAAGCGUGGGGAGCGAACAGGAUUAGAAACCCGGGUAGUCC
This 274-nucleotide ribosomal RNA is filed under the name uncultured bacterium. RNAcentral's name for it is "partial 16S ribosomal RNA". It matches the Rfam family "Bacterial small subunit ribosomal RNA", at positions 523 to 796 of the family's 1533-position model. The record is from RNAcentral.